AGUGAACGCUGGCGGUAGGCCUAACACAUGCAAGUCGAACGGCAGCACAGUAAGAGCUUGCUCUUACGGGUGGCGAGUGGCGGACGGGUGAGGAAUACAUCGGAAUCUACUUUUUCGUGGGGGAUAACGUAGGGAAACUUACGCUAAUACCGCAUACGACCUACGGGUGAAAGCAGGGGAUCUUCUGACCUUGCGCGAUUGAAUGAGCCGAUGUCGGAUUAGCUAGUUGGCGGGGUAAAGGCCCACCAAGGCGACGAUCCGUAGCUGGUCUGAGAGGCUGAUCAGCCACACUGGAACUGAGACACGGUCCAGGCUCCUACGGGAGGCAGCAGUGGGGAAUAUUGGACAAUGGGCGCAAGCCUGAUCCAGCCAUACCGCGUGGGUGAAGGAGGCCUUCGGGUUGUAAAGCCCGUUUGUUGGGAAAGAAAAGCAGCAGGUUAAUACCCCGCUGUUCUGACGGUACCCAAAGAAUAAGCACCGGCUAACUUCGUG
Molecule: ribosomal RNA, 492 nt
Filed under: uncultured bacterium
Lineage: Bacteria
Description: partial 16S ribosomal RNA
Rfam family: Bacterial small subunit ribosomal RNA
Source: RNAcentral